Molecule: long non-coding RNA, 294 nt
Filed under: Homo sapiens (human)
Lineage: Eukaryota; Metazoa; Chordata; Mammalia; Primates; Hominidae
Description: HSALNT0401353
Source: RNAcentral
AGCUGGAGACUUAGGGAGGAGACGUCUUGUUCUAGUUUCAGGGUCGUGGAGCUGCAGACUGAGGGAGGAGCAAUUUUGUUGUAGUUCGAGGGUCAGGAAGCUGGCGACCCAGGGAGGAGAGGUCUUGUUCUGGUUUGAGGGUCGUGGAGCCGCAGACCCAGGGAGGAGCAAUGUUGUUGUAAUUCGAGGGUCAGGAAGCUGGCGACCCAGGGAGGAGAGGUCUUGUUCUAGUUUGAGGGUCGUGGAGCUGCAGACCCAGGGAGGAGCCAUGUUGGUUUGAAUGUUGUGGAUCUG